Molecule: ribosomal RNA, 521 nt
Filed under: uncultured Glomeraceae
Lineage: Eukaryota; Fungi; Glomeromycota; Glomeromycetes; Glomerales; Glomeraceae
Description: SSU rRNA
Rfam family: Eukaryotic small subunit ribosomal RNA
Source: RNAcentral
AGCAGCCGCGAUAAUUCCAGCUCCAAUAGCGUAUAUUAAAGUUGUUGCAGUUAAAAAGCUCGUAGUUGAAUUUUGGGAUUAGUACAUUGGUCGUGCCUUAGGUAUGUACUGGUGUUACUGGUUCCUCCUUCUGACGAACCAUCAUGUCAUUAAUUUGGUGUGGUGAGAAAUCAGGAUUGUUACUUUGAAAAAAUUAGAGUGUUUAAAGCAGGCUCAUGCUUGAAUACAUUAGCAUGGAAUAAUGAAAUAGGACGUUGACCCUAUUUUGUUGGUUUCUAGGAUUGACGUAAUGAUUAAUAGGGAUAGUUGGGGUCAUUAGUAUUCAAUUGUCAGAGGUGAAAUUCUUGGAUUUAUUGAAGACUAACUACUGCGAAAGCAUUUGCCAAGGAUGUUUUCAUUAAUCAAGAACGAAAGUUAGGGGAUCGAAGACGAUCAGAUAUCAUCGUAGUCUUAACCAUAAACUAUGCCGACUAGGGAUCGGAUGAUGUUAAUUUUUUAAUGACUCAUUCGGCGCCUUACGG